This 5175-nucleotide long non-coding RNA is filed under the name Sus scrofa (pig). RNAcentral's name for it is "lncRNA (ENSSSCG00000060670.1)". The record is from RNAcentral. Lineage: Eukaryota; Metazoa; Chordata; Mammalia; Artiodactyla; Suidae.
UUCCAAAUAACCACGAGCUGCGCCCUCUUUCCGCAAAUCUCCUGAACCCAGGUUUUUCCUUAAACGUGUUUACUUCGCCCACCCCAGCCUCCGAAGUUCCACAAUGGAGUCUGGGCCAUGCUGGCCCAAGCGCUGCAGCCACUUUAAGGUAGGGAGGAGUUGGCGAGCUUUCCGGGUAGUGGGAGAAACCUCGUGGCGGGGUAGCGCCUCAGCAGCCUCCAGGCCUGGCCACCACGAUGGGCAGGUGCGCGCCUCACGCGGAAAGCGAGCCGGAGGAGGCUGAACGCUGCGCCGCACCACUCUCAGGGCUCUCUCGGGCCACCUCUGCGCCCACCUGGGGCCCAGUCCUUGAGUCUCAACUCCGUGAUCAGGGCAAGCCCCCUGGCCCCGCACGCUCCGUGGCGCACGCUCCGUGGGGACCUACCCAGAAGCAGCCUCCUCCGCCGGACUCUCCGGGCGACCUCGCAGGGCAAGGAAGAUAGGCCCGCGGCGAGUUGUGGGGUAACCAGUGCGCGGAGCGUAGAGUCCCGGAGCCUACCGCAGCCCAGCUGCGCGCAGGGGGCUGCGUCUCUGCGCCGCCGCCCCACUUCCCCUGCGCCCUCCUGGAGCUGCACUGCGCAUUUAGUCCGACGUUUCCGCCGACUGGUCAGCUGCUGUCCUCACGGCUCUGGGCUUUCGACACCAAGGACGCUUCCAGGGAAAUGGCUAACAGACUGACGAGGGGAGCGCAAACAGUUGCAGCCCUAACCCGAACUGCCCCCGGAGGACCGAAUGCUGGCUGGAGAGAGGAGCGCGGAGGAGUGGAAGGAGGAGGGGGCCCCUUCAUUCCUCCUUCUCCCUCCUCCUCCCCCGACCAGCCCACCCAGGUAGCUCUGCCUGUUAAGCAGCGAACAGGUGUCAGACACACACUUCCCUGGGGUUGACCCCGAGCCUCUCCCACUGUGACCUACGCACUGAGGACAUGCUAAAAACUUUUGCCCUGAAUGAGACAUGUUAUGGAUAUCCCAUCUUUUUCUCAGAGUCUCAGCUGCCAUUACUUCUAAGGACUCGCCUCCUUUCUCUCCCGCUUUCCCUGCCUCUACUGGGCGGGGACCUUUUGCAUUUGAACUUCCCGCACUGUUUGCCGCUUUUCGCUAGAGCCUCGCGGAAUUGGGAGCCCAGCUCUCUCCGGACGAGUGCUCUCCAGUUCCCGAGUUGUGAGGAAGAUCGCAAAAACUUAGAGGAGGGGUGCGGGCACUGGUCUCAGAAAUGAGGGUAUAGAAGCAGGAAACUAAGAAUUUUAUCUUUUAAAAAGUAUGUUCAAAACCGCGCUUUACUAAGCGCGGGGGUCGGAAAGCGCGGCCGCGGGCGGGAGCUCAGCGGCCCGCGGGAAGAGCCGCAGCGCCCCCUGGAGGCACGAGCCAAGCACUACGUGGCGCGGGCGCCGGGGGCGGUCACUCAGGCGGCUGGCUCCGGGUAUGAAUGUCUGGCUGCCAACGGCACUGCCGGCGGCUGGGUUCCUUUCACCUCGACCUGGGCCCCUUGGCUGCGGUGGCAGAAUCGUGUGCACGGCAGGGGCUUGUUGUCAGAGCCAGUAACCCGCUCUACCCCACCGCUGGGGCCUUUGUGAGCGUCCCUCGUCCUCUCCUGGGCAGUUUUUCUAAGACAGAUUUUCGGACUCAUGCCCAGGGCGGCUCCGACUUCCUCGGGGCAGGGGAAAGACACUAGUUCUGACCCUAGCUUAGGGGAUCGCGGCGGUAUGGUGCUGAUCAGAUUCUAGCAGAUUCCAAGGCCUCGGAUGUGGCCCCUUUGGGAGAGGCAAGAGAGCUUUCUCAGAGGACCUCAUUUGGAAAGGCUCUCGCACUCCCUACGACUUUCCACUUAUCUCACCCAGCAUUUGAAGCCCUGUGGGGAAUGGAUUCCCUGGGUGGGCUGUGCUCUCCUUAAACCUGAGAGCGGGAACACGCGCGCCGCGAGGAGAGCGAGUACCGCGGGAGCCGUCCCAGGCCUGGGAGCCUGAGGACCACCCGUCUCCAGCCGUCCGAUCCCGGGACCCAGCCAGCUCCAGAGUAGGGACGGGCCGUAGAGCCUCCGGGGCCUGAGGCCGGCCGAGCCUCCUGGGCUCUUCCUCGCGGGCGGUGGGAGGGGGUGGGGAAGGAGAGCGUGUUGGGCCCAGUGGCGCCUUGCCUGUGCCUGUGCCUCUCGGCCAGCUUCAUGCCGAAGGAGGCUUCGGCGGGCGCCCUUCUUGCUACCUGGUUAUGCGGCACCGAGUAGCCGGAAAAGAGGAGCUACCUGUGGAGGUUGAAAAACCCAGUUAGAGGGUUAGCUAAGAGGCCAAAGCCAGGCUGGGCACGCUUGCGAGCAGACCUUCCCGUGAGCCCUGGUCCGGUCGGAGUUUGCUUUCCCGGGGGAGGUCGUCGGCCGCCCCUGCAGCAAGGCCAACUGCACAGGCCGCCGGCUAUCCGUCAGCCCCUCGUGAGCAUGAGGUUGGUCCCGCGCCUUCACGCCGCCCGGGAUCACAAGGGGUUUCUGGGUCGAGGCUGCAGCAGCCGCGGCCGAGCUCCGGCACAUGCUGGGCUCGGGCUCCCAGGAUGCGCGGGAACACAACGCGCUUUCGCCUCCAGAACCUUCAGGACACGGACCUAUCGCGGUUUGCCUCGCCAGAGAGAGCCGGGUCAAUCCCUAUGCUCCCGGGUCAAAGGACAGCUUCCAAUUCAGGGUGUUUCCUAACGGAGCCCAAAGGUGUCCGUGACCGGGAAGACCGGGUUUACAAAUUUCUGCAGCCGAAGGCAAGACCCAGGCGCCACUCAACGGUGAGACCCCCUUGCUGAUGGCGCCCCUCUGGGGGAGCUUCACCCAGGCAGCGUGGGACUGACCCAGCCCUUGCGCUCCAAAAGAUUAUCUUCAGAAAAGACUAGGGCAGAGUCUGCAAAUCUAUUUUGAUUGGCUUUUCACUUAAAAAAAAAAAAAAAAAGCUACUUGCGAACUCUUAACCACUGGGAAAAUUCUAACGAAAAUAUUGAUUUUCAAUAGGCUCCCUUUCCUCCGCAGCUGUGCGCUGGCCGGAGCUGAGCAGCUCUGCUCUCUGUUUUCUGGGAUCUGUUUUAAAGAUGCUGGACCUUGGAUUGCCUUGAGGUUUGCAUUUAUAGCUGCAGAAGUUCGUUGUCUGGGGCUCUGGCAUCGGUCCAGAGUUAGCCAACAGUCGUAUUAAAGUGUGGUCCAAUAGCAUCAGCUCCUUCUGGAACUUGUUAGAAAUGCAGAUUCCCUGGCCCCACUUACUGAGUCAGACCCUCUAGGAGUGGGGACCGGCAAUGUUUUCGAACAAGCUCUUCAGGUGACUCUGAUGCACGCUGAAGUUUGAGAACUACUGACCUAGAUCAAAUUGACUUUUAGGGGGCAGUCGCGAUUUGGCUUUCUGGCUCUCUCCCUCCCUCCUAUCUUACUUUUCUCCCUCCUUCCCUUCCUUUUCCUUCUCACCAGAGACUGCCCUCGCAUAUAUCUGGCCUAGGACAGGUAAUUCAUUCAUUAGCUCAUUCAUCCCCUCACUCUCUCAGUCCUCUGACUUUUCUUUGGAGGCACCUCUCAAGUCCUUGGAAAGGUGCUGAGGAUUCCGAGGUGAACUAGGCUUGUCCCCUCCCUUCAAAAAGUCAUAUGAAGAAGAGCAAAGGAGAGAAAGCAGAAUGAAUGCCUUCACCUUUCUUAGGGUUUUGUUGUUGUUGUUCUUAUAAUCUAAUACUAGAUUUGAUCUGAUUUCAGGGAAUGUCCCUGUUGGGACAGAACAGGAGCACUGCACCCAUUUUUAAAGUUUUUGACCUUUUGGGACCCUCAACUCCCUUCUUUGCCCAGGUUGAUGUUAUUCUUUUCCUAUAUUCAUUCACAUCCUGGGGCUUCUGGGUGUCUGCUGCAUACACUUCCACAUACCUAGACAUAUGUUGCCCAUGCCUUACCUGCCCACCCUGCACUGGAUCAAAGUGCUUGGCUUCUGGAGUGUGGGAAUGCCACAAUUGGGAAAUGUGUUUGGACCUGGGCUCAAAGCCCUUGUAUUUCCCUGAAGCUGUAUAGGAAGGUCUUAGGACAGCUGGCACUGACACUCAUGUUUGCUCAAAGGACUUUGAUCUUGCAUCUUGCUGCCCCGAAAAGAUCAGGUUCCUGAAGUUAGGUGUCCCUGAACGUUGACACUGCAGAUGUGUCACCCUAAGAUUGGGUCAGAUCCCCUUGCAUUUCACUUGACAGUGCACAAUCUGUUGUUCCCCCUCACAGGGUAUCUAAAACUCCAAAUGAAACUCACACUUUCUAGUUUUCUUGUACCAAAUCAGACUCCCUUAAGCUUUCGCUUUGCUCUUUCUCUCUAGAACCUUCCUUGAACUUCAGUCCCCAGCCCAGCAAAGAGCCACCUCCCCUGAAAAUCUCCCACCAAGAGAUGUUCUGGUUGUAGGACUGAGAACUGUGGAAGGCACACUUUGCCUUCCGGGCAGUGGCAAGUCCCUCAAAAAUCAGGACUAACUGGAAGCUUCUUGUCUAUUUUCAGACUGAGAAGAAGGUUUUCAUUUUAGUGAGCCAGUGUAGGGAAGCCACUGAAAACGCACACAAAGAAAAAUGAAUUUUCCUAUUGCCCUAAACGUAAAUUGUCUAAAACUACUCAGCUCCACUUUGACAAAGAAUUGCUACUUUAAUAUGACCUUUUCUUAUGGGGAUUUUCAAAAUAUAAAAUGCAUAAUGGUCAGGAACAUGAUAAUCUCUUUACAACCUGCGAUCAUGUUUCUUAACAGGAUUUUGCUUUCCAGUGCAGAUGGUUUGACAUAGUAACAUUCAAAGCAGCCAGCACUUAGGAAAUGCCAAGGCCAGUAUUUGAAUGCAGAUACAAGUUUUAACAAAGGAAAAUGUAUAUCCCUGUAGCUGUUUGCCUGUGACUAUUCCCCAGAAGAUUAAUACAUUAUUCUUGAAUCUAAUCCAAGUCAGCAAACUCUCUAAAAAGUCUGUGAGGUGCCAACUCAUAAGGCACCCAGGAUUCCUUGUCACCAAAUAUUUUUGAGUGUCUACUAUGUACCAGGUACCAGACAAUUGUGUUAUUGUUUGCGGCCUUGAACUUUCAUCCUGACUUGGGGUGGGGGCAAGGGCGAGGAAGGUGGGAUUUUAAGGUUGGUUUCCUCUGUUUUUGUUAAAUUGUUAAAGUAUUUGUACUUAAUAGCAAUCUUU